ACACGACUACAUUAGAUACCCGCGUAGUCCCAGCCCUAAACGAUGCGCGUUAGGUGUAUCGGUGACCACGAGUCACCGAGGUGCCGAAGGGAACCGUGAAACGUGCCGCCUGGGAAGUACGGUCGCAAGGCUGAAACUUAAAGGAAUUGGCGGGGAGCACCGCAACGGGAGGAGCGUGCGGUUCAAUUGGAUUCAACGCCGGACAACUCACCAGGAGCGACGGUUACAUGAAGGCCAGGCUGAUGACCUUGCCUGAUUUUCCG
RNAcentral lists this ribosomal RNA (263 nucleotides) under uncultured archaeon. RNAcentral's name for it is "partial 16S ribosomal RNA". It matches the Rfam family "Archaeal small subunit ribosomal RNA", at positions 717 to 982 of the family's 1478-position model. The record is from RNAcentral.